AUAGGGGAGCCGUAGCGAAAGCGAGUCUUAACUGGGCGCUCAGUCUCUGGAUAUAGACCCGAAACCGGGUGAUCUAGCCAUGGGCAGGUUGAAGGUUGAGUAACAUCAACUGGAGGACCGAACCGACUAAUGUUGAAAAAUUAGCGGAUGACUUGUGGCUAGGGGUGAAAGGCCAAUCAAACUCGGAGAUAGCUGGUUCUCCCCGAAAGCUAUUUAGGUAGCGCCUCGGACGAAUACUACUGGGGGUAGAGCACUGUUAAGGCUAGGGGGUCAUCCCGACUUACCAACCCUUUGCAAACUCCGAAUACCAGUAAGUACUAUCCGGGAGACACACGGCGGGUGCUAACGUCCGUCGUGGAGAGGGAAACAACCCAGACCGCCAGCUAAGGUCCCAAAGUAUUGCUAAGUGGGAAACGAUGUGGGAAGGCUCAGACAGCUAGGAUGUUGGCUUAGAAGCAGCCAUCAUUUAAAGAAAGCGUAAUAGCUCACUAGUCGAGUCGGCCUGCGCGGAAGAUGUAACGGGGCUAAGCAAUACACCGAAGCUGCGGCAAUGUCUUUUAGACAUUGGGUAGGGGAGCGUUCUGUAAGCCGUUGAAGGUGAAUCGUAAGGUUUGCUGGAGGUAUCAGAAGUGCGAAUGCUGACAUGAGUAACGACAAAGGGGGUGAAAAACCUCCUCGCCGGAAGACCAAGGGUUCCUGUCCAACGUUAAUCGGGGCAGGGUGAGUCGACCCCUAAGGUGAGGCCGAAAGGCGUAAUCGAUGGGAAACGGGUUAAUAUUCCCGUACUUCUGACUAUUGCGAUGGGGGGACGGAGAAGGCUAGGUGGGCCAGGCGACGGUUGUCCUGGUUCAAGUGCGUAGGCUUGAGAGUUAGGUAAAUCCGGCUCUCUCUAAGGCUGAGACACGACGUCGAGCUACUACGGUAGUGAAGUCAUUGAUGCCAUGCUUCCAGGAAAAGCCUCUAAGCUUCAGAUAGUCAGGAAUCGUACCCCAAACCGACACAGGUGGUCGGGUAGAGAAUACCAAGGCGCUUGAGAGAACUCGGGUGAAGGAACUAGGCAAAAUGGUACCGUAACUUCGGGAGAAGGUACGCUCUUGAUGGUGAAGUCCCUCGCGGAUGGAGCUGACGAGAGUCGCAGAUACCAGGUGGCUGCAACUGUUUAUUAAAAACACAGCACUGUGCAAAAUCGCAAGAUGACGUAUACGGUGUGACGCCUGCCCGGUGCCGGAAGGUUAAUUGAUGGGGUUAGCGCAAGCGAAGCUCUUGAUCGAAGCCCCGGUAAACGGCGGCCGUAACUAUAACGGUCCUAAGGUAGCGAAAUUCCUUGUCGGGUAAGUUCCGACCUGCACGAAUGGCGUAAUGAUGGCCACGCUGUCUCCACCCGAGACUCAGUGAAAUUGAAAUCGCUGUGAAGAUGCAGUGUACCCGCGGCUAGACGGAAAGACCCCGUGAACCUUUACUACAGCUUGGCACUGAACAUUGAACCUACAUGUGUAGGAUAGGUGGGAGGCUAUGAAGACGUGACGCCAGUUGCGUUGGAGCCGUCCUUGAAAUACCACCCUUGUAUGUUUGAUGUUCUAACUUAGACCCAUUAUCUGGGUUGAGGACAGUGCCUGGUGGGUAGUUUGACUGGGGCGGUCUCCUCCCAAAGAGUAACGGAGGAGCACGAAGGUGGGCUAAUCACGGUUGGACAUCGUGAGGUUAGUGCAAUGGCAUAAGCCCGCUUAACUGCGAGAAUGACGGUUCGAGCAGGUGCGAAAGCAGGUCAUAGUGAUCCGGUGGUUCUGUAUGGAAGGGCCAUCGCUCAACGGAUAAAAGGUACUCCGGGGAUAACAGGCUGAUACCGCCCAAGAGUUCAUAUCGACGGCGGUGUUUGGCACCUCGAUGUCGGCUCAUCACAUCCUGGGGCUGAAGUCGGUCCCAAGGGUAUGGCUGUUCGCCAUUUAAAGUGGUACGCGAGCUGGGUUUAGAACGUCGUGAGACAGUUCGGUCCCUAUCUGCCGUGGGCGUUGGAAGAUUGAAGGGGGCUGCUCCUAGUACGAGAGGACCGGAGUGGACGAACCUCUGGUGUUCGGGUUGUGUCGCCAGACGCAUUGCCCGGUAGCUAAGUUCGGAAUUGAUAAGCGCUGAAAGCAUCUAAGCGCGAAGCGAGCCCUGAGAUGAGUCUUCCCUGACAGUUUAACUGUCCUAAAGGGUUGUUCGAGACUAGAACGUUGAUAGGCAGGGUGUGUAAGCGUUGUGAGGCGUUGAGCUAACCUGUACUAAUUGCCCGUGAGGCUUAACCAU
RNAcentral lists this ribosomal RNA (2286 nucleotides) under Vibrio cholerae. Its description in RNAcentral is "partial 23S ribosomal RNA". It matches the Rfam family "Bacterial large subunit ribosomal RNA", at positions 657 to 2925 of the family's 2925-position model. Lineage: Bacteria; Pseudomonadati; Pseudomonadota; Gammaproteobacteria; Vibrionales; Vibrionaceae. The record is from RNAcentral.